This 980-nucleotide ribosomal RNA is filed under the name Limosilactobacillus fermentum. Its description in RNAcentral is "bacterial SSU rRNA". It matches the Rfam family "Bacterial small subunit ribosomal RNA", at positions 39 to 973 of the family's 1533-position model. The record is from RNAcentral. Lineage: Bacteria; Bacillati; Bacillota; Bacilli; Lactobacillales; Lactobacillaceae.
UGGGGGGGCCUAAUACAUGCAAGUCGAACGCGUUGGCCCAAUUGAUUGAUGGUGCUUGCACCUGAUUGUAUUUUGGUCGCCAACGAGUGGCGGACGGGUGAGUAACACGUAGGUAACCUGCCCAGAAGCGGGGGACAACAUUUGGAAACAGAUGCUAAUACCGCAUAACAGCGUUGUUCGCAUGAACAACGCUUAAAAGAUGGCUUCUCGCUAUCACUUCUGGAUGGACCUGCGGUGCAUUAGCUUGUUGGUGGGGUAACGGCCUACCAAGGCGAUGAUGCAUAGCCGAGUUGAGAGACUGAUCGGCCACAAUGGGACUGAGACACGGCCCAUACUCCUACGGGAGGCAGCAGUAGGGAAUCUUCCACAAUGGGCGCAAGCCUGAUGGAGCAACACCGCGUGAGUGAAGAAGGGUUUCGGCUCGUAAAGCUCUGUUGUUAAAGAAGAACACGUAUGAGAGUAACUGUUCAUACGUUGACGGUAUUUAACCAGAAAGUCACGGCUAACUACGUGCCAGCAGCCGCGGUAAUACGUAGGUGGCAAGCGUUAUCCGGAUUUAUUGGGCGUAAAGAGAGUGCAGGCGGUUUUCUAAGUCUGAUGUGAAAGCCUUCGGCUUAACCGGAGAAGUGCAUCGGAAACUGGAUAACUUGAGUGCAGAAGAGGGUAGUGGAACUCCAUGUGUAGCGGUGGAAAUGCGUAGAUAUAUGGAAGAACACCAGUGGCCGAAAGCGGCUACCUGGUCUGCAACUGACGCUGAGACUCGAAAGCAUGGGUAGCGAACAGGAUUAGAUACCCUGGUAGUCCAUGCCGUAAACGAUGAGUGCUAGGUGUUGGGAGGAUUUCCGCCCUUCAGUGCCGGAGCUAACGCAUUAGCACUUCCGUCUGGGGGGAGGUACGACGGCAAGUGAACUCAAAGGGAAUUUGACCGGGGCCGCAACAAGCGGUGGAGCAAUGUGUAUCGAGCUACGCGAGAACCUUUA